CACGCAGGCGGUCCCGAAAGUCGAAUGUGAAAGCUCCCGGCCCAACUGGGAGAGGCCGUUCGAAACUUCGGGACUUGAAGGCGGGAGAGGCAGAUGGAAUUUCCGGUGUAGCGGUAAAAUGCGUAGAUACCGGAAGGAACACCAGUGGCGAAAGCGAUCUGCUGGCCCGCCCUUGACGCUCAGGUGCGAAAGCUAGGGGAGCGACCGGGAUUAGAUACCCCGUUAGUCCUAGCCGUAAACAAUGGGCACUAGGUGUUGUCGGUAUCGACCCCGGCAGUGCCGAAGCUAACGCAUUAAGUGCCCCGCCUGGGGAGUACGACCGCAAGGUUAAA
Molecule: ribosomal RNA, 332 nt
Filed under: uncultured Thermacetogenium sp.
Lineage: Bacteria; Bacillati; Bacillota; Clostridia; Thermoanaerobacterales; Thermoanaerobacteraceae
Description: bacterial SSU rRNA
Rfam family: Bacterial small subunit ribosomal RNA
Source: RNAcentral